Molecule: ribosomal RNA, 450 nt
Filed under: uncultured Glomus
Lineage: Eukaryota; Fungi; Glomeromycota; Glomeromycetes; Glomerales; Glomeraceae
Description: SSU rRNA
Rfam family: Eukaryotic small subunit ribosomal RNA
Source: RNAcentral
AGCAGCCGCGGUAAUUCCAGCUCCAAUAGCGUAUAUUAAAGUUGUUGCAGUUAAAAAGCUCGUAGUUGAAUUUCAGGAUCAAUGGGUUGGUCAUGCCCUCGGUAUGUACUGAUUUCAUUGGUUCUCACCUUCUAAGGAACCAUGAUGUCAUUUAUUUGAUGUUGUGGGAAAUUAGGACUGUUACCUUGAAAAAUUAGAGUGUUUAAAGCAGGCUAACGCUUGAAUACAUUAGCAUGGAAUAAUGAAAUAGGACAUCCGAUUCUAUUUUGUUGGUUUCUAGGAUCGAUGUAAUGAUUAAUAGGGAUAGUUGGGGGCAUUAGUAUUCAAUUGUCAGAGGUGAAAUUCUUGGAUUUAUUGAAGACUAACUACUGCGAAAGCAUUUGCCAAGGAUGUUUUCAUUAAUCAAGAACGAAAGUUAGGGGAUCGAAGACGAUCAGAUACCGUCGUAGU